This 621-nucleotide ribosomal RNA is filed under the name uncultured bacterium. RNAcentral's name for it is "bacterial SSU rRNA". It matches the Rfam family "Bacterial small subunit ribosomal RNA", at positions 338 to 946 of the family's 1533-position model. The record is from RNAcentral.
CCUACGGGAGGCAGCAGUGGGGAAUUUUGGACAAUGGGGGCAACCCUGAUCCAGCCAUUCCGCGUGAGUGAAGAAGGCCUUCGGGUUGUAAAGCUCUUUCGCAAGGGAAGAAACGUUACGAGCGAAUAACUCGUGAUAAUGACGGUACCUUGAUAAGAAGCACCGGCUAACUACGUGCCAGCAGCCGCGGUAAUACGUAGGGUGCAAGCGUUAAUCGGAAUUACUGGGCGUAAAGCGUGCGCAGGCGGUUUUUGUAAGUCAGGAUGUGAAAUCCCCGAGCUCAACUUGGGAACUGCGUUUGAAACUACAAGGCUAGAAUAUGUCAGAGGGGGGUAGAAUUCCACGUGUAGCAGUGAAAUGCGUAGAGAUGUGGAGGAAUACCAAUGGCGAAGGCAGCCCCCUGGGAUAAUAUUGACGCUCAUGCACGAAAGCGUGGGGAGCAAACAGGAUUAGAUACCCUGGUAGUCCACGCCCUAAACGAUGUCUACUAGUUGUUGGUGGAGUAAAAUCCAUGAGUAACGCAGCUAACGCGUGAAGUAGACCGCCUGGGGAGUACGGUCGNAAAGNUUAAAACUUCAAAGGAAUUGAGGCUUGAGAGNGCGAGACGACGACGAGGAGAGG